Molecule: long non-coding RNA, 329 nt
Organism: Ailuropoda melanoleuca (giant panda)
Lineage: Eukaryota; Metazoa; Chordata; Mammalia; Carnivora; Ursidae
Exons: 3
Source: RefSeq, a predicted model, not a curated record
AUGAAAGCUAGGUCCCACCAAAGACAUGUCAGACGUGGUUCAAGAUACUCCCUCUUUUUACAGAAAAAGGCUCGGCUGGAGGGCACACGUUAGCCCCAUCCCAGGAGGAAGAAAGGCAAAACCGGAGGGAGCUGAGUUCCCAAACUCACCAACUAAGUGCGGCCACCUCCUUCCUCCCCUGGGAUGCCAGAAAGUGAGAGGAAGAGAGGACAGAAGUGUCAAAACUUCACACGUAGGGGAGACACCAAGGAGGAUCGGCCAGUGAGCUCUUUGUGGGCAAGACCAACAUCUCACUCCUGGAGGUGGAUCCAAGACCCAGCUCAGUGCCC